GACGAACGCUGGCGGCGCGCUUAACACAUGCAAGUCGAACGGAAAGGCCUGCUUUCCCUUGUGGAUUGCGGGUACUCGAGUGGCGGACGGGUGAGUAACACGUGAGUGAUCUGCCCCCAACUUGGGUAUAAGCCUGGGAAACUGGGUCUAAUUCCCGAUAGGACUGCAGGGUGGUGCCUGUGGUGGAAAACGAUUUUCUAGUGGUUGGGGAUGAGCUCGCGGCCUAUCAGCUUGUUGGUGGGGUAAUGGCCUACCAAGGCGGCGACGGGUAGCCGGCCUGAGAGGGUGGACGGCCACAUUGGGACUGAGAUACGGCCCAGACUCCUACGGGAGGCAGCAGUGGGGAAUAUUGCACAAUGGGCGGAAGCCUGAUGCAGCGACGCCGCGUGGGGGAUGACGGCCUUCGGGUUGUAAACUCCUUUCGACCGCGAGGAAGCCACCUGGUUGGAAGGGUGGUGACGGUAGUGGUAGAAGAAGCACCGGCUAACUACGUG
Molecule: ribosomal RNA, 494 nt
Filed under: uncultured bacterium
Lineage: Bacteria
Description: partial 16S ribosomal RNA
Rfam family: Bacterial small subunit ribosomal RNA
Source: RNAcentral